UACGGAGGGGGCUAGCGUUGUUCGGAAUUACUGGGCGUAAAGCGCACGUAGGCGGCUUUGUAAGUUAGAGGUGAAAGCCCGGGGCUCAACUCCGGAAUUGCCUUUAAGACUGCAUCGCUAGAAUUGUGGAGAGGUAAGUGGAAUUCCGAGUGUAGAGGUGAAAUUCGUAGAUAUUCGGAAGAACACCAGUGGCGAAGGCGACUUACUGGACACAUAUUGACGCUGAGGUGCGAAAGCG
RNAcentral lists this ribosomal RNA (238 nucleotides) under uncultured bacterium. Its description in RNAcentral is "partial 16S ribosomal RNA". It matches the Rfam family "Bacterial small subunit ribosomal RNA", at positions 524 to 761 of the family's 1533-position model. The record is from RNAcentral.